UACGGAGGGUGCGAGCGUUGUCCGGAAUCACUGGGCGUAAAGGGCGCGUAGGCGGCGCGAGGAGUCGGUUGUGAAAGCCCGGGGCUUAACCCCGGGUCUGCAGUCGAUACGGGCAGGCUAGAGUUCGGUAGGGGAGAUCGGAAUUCCUGGUGUAGCGGUGAAAUGCGCAGAUAUCAGGAGGAACACCGGUGGCGAAGGCGGAUCUCUGGGCCGAUACUGACGCUGAGGAGCGAAAGCGUGGGGAGCGAACAGG
This 253-nucleotide ribosomal RNA is filed under the name uncultured bacterium. RNAcentral's name for it is "partial 16S ribosomal RNA". It matches the Rfam family "Bacterial small subunit ribosomal RNA", at positions 524 to 776 of the family's 1533-position model. The record is from RNAcentral.